GGUGAACGCUGGCGGCGGGCCUAAUACAUGCAAGUCGAGCGAACAGACGAGAAGCUUUCUCCUCUGACGUUAGCGGCUGACGGGUGAGUAAGACGUGGAUAACCUACCUAUAAGACUGGGAGAACUUCGGGAAACCGGAGCUGAUACCGGAUAAUAUAUUCAACCGCAUGGUUCAAUAGUGAAACACGGUUUUGCUGUCACUUAUAGCUGGAUCCGCGCUGCAUUAGCUAGUUGGUAAGGUAACGGCUUACCAAGGCGACGAUGCGUAGCCGACCUGAGAGGGUGAUCGGCCACACUGGAACUGAGACACGGUCCAGACUCCUACGGGAGGCAGCAGUGGGGAAUCUUCCACAAUGGGCGAAAGCCUGACGGAGCAACGCCGCGUGAGUGAUGAAGGUCUUCGGAUCGUAAAACUCUGUUAUUAGGGAAGAAAAAAUGUGUAAGAAACUACGCACGUUUUGACGGUACCUAAUCAGAAAGCAACGGCUAACUUCGUG
RNAcentral lists this ribosomal RNA (497 nucleotides) under uncultured bacterium. Its description in RNAcentral is "partial 16S ribosomal RNA". It matches the Rfam family "Bacterial small subunit ribosomal RNA", at positions 28 to 507 of the family's 1533-position model. The record is from RNAcentral.